GUGAGCAGACUGGCCUCCCAGCACCUCGUGGCCAUCCUGGACCCACCCCGUGCUGGCUUGCGUGAGUGGCUUUUGCUUAAGGUGGCGGCACGGGAAGGAGGACACAUGGGGUGGCUUACCAUGUUGUGCACUCUCUGGCUGUGGGGACCCAGCUGGUGUUUGUCUCCUCAGAUUCCAAGGUGAUCCUCGCCAUCCGCAGAGCUGAGAACCUCAGGCGGCUGCUGUACGUCUCAUGCAACCCCCGGGCAGCCAUGGGCAACUUUGUGGACCUCUGCAGAGCCCCAUCUAACCGAGUGAAGGGCAUUCCCUUCCGGCCGGUCAAGGCUGUGGCAGUGGACCUGUUCCCGCAGACCCCGCACUGUGAGAUGCUCAUCCUGUUCGAGAGGGUGGAGCACCCCAAUGGCACAGGGGUCUUAGGGCCCCACAGCCCUCCAGCUCAACCCACACCAGGACCCCCAGAUGACACCCCACAAGAAACUGGGGCCUUCCCCUCAUCCUAGGCCCAGGACCCAUUAUGGUGACGGGAGCUGAAGGGCUCCCAGGGCCCCAGGGGCAGGGAAGGCAUGGCUUGCUGGCCAGGAUAUUCAGAGGUAGGCAGCCAAAGGGCACAGAACCCUGUACCCCACCAGGAUUGGUCUGCUGCUAGGGGCCAGGGGCUCUGACCAGGAAGGCAGGUGGGCUCCUACAGCCUGUUCCCCAUCCCCAGGGCCUUUGUGGACUAGCCAAGGCCGUGAGGGCCAGAAUAAACAACUGCUCAACAAA
Molecule: small RNA, 762 nt
Filed under: Pongo abelii (Sumatran orangutan)
Lineage: Eukaryota; Metazoa; Chordata; Mammalia; Primates; Hominidae
Description: retained intron
Source: RNAcentral